Molecule: ribosomal RNA, 513 nt
Filed under: Citrobacter koseri
Lineage: Bacteria; Pseudomonadati; Pseudomonadota; Gammaproteobacteria; Enterobacterales; Enterobacteriaceae
Description: partial 16S ribosomal RNA
Source: RNAcentral
UGUUAGCUCCGGAAGCACGCCUCAAGGGCACAACCUCCAAAUCGACAUCGUUUACAGCGUGGACUACAGGGUAUCUAAUCCUGUUGCUCCCCACGCUUUCGCACCUGAGCGUCAGUCUUCGUCCAGGAGGCCGCCUUCGCCACCGGUAUUCCUCCAGAUCUCUACGCAUUUCACCGCUACACCUGGAAUUCUACCUCCCUCUACGAGACUCAAGCCUGCCAGUUUCAAAUGCAGUUCCCAGGUUGAGCCCGGGGAUUUCACAUCUGACUUAACAGACCGCCUGCGUGCGCUUUACGCCCAGUAAUUCCGAUUAACGCUUGCACCCUCCGUAUUACCGCGGCUGCUGGCACGGAGUUAGCCGGUGCUUCUUCUGCGGGUAACGUCAAUUGCUGUGGUUAUUAACCACAACACCUUCCUCCCCGCUGAAAGUACUUUACAACCCGAAGGCCUUCUUCAUACACGCGGCAUGGCUGCAUCAGGCUUGCGCCCAUUGUGGCCAAAUAAUUUCCCCCC